UGGGGAAUCUUCCGCAAUGGGUGAAAGCCUGACGGAGCAACGCCGCGUGAGGGAUGAAGGCCUCUGGGCUGUAAACCUCUUUUAUCAAGGAAGAAGAUCUGACGGUACUUGAUGAAUAAGCCACGGCUAAUUCCGUGCCAGCAGCCGCGGUAAUACGGGAGUGGCAAGCGUUAUCCGGAAUUAUUGGGCGUAAAGCGUCCGCAGGCGGCCCUUCAAGUCUGCUGUUAAAAAGUGGAGCUUAACUCCAUCAUGGCAGUGGAAACUGUUGGGCUUGAGUGUGGUAGGGGCAGAGGGAAUUCCCGGUGUAGCGGUGAAAUGCGUAGAUAUCGGGAAGAACACCAGUGGCGAAGGCGCUCUGCUGGGCCAUCACUGACGCUCAUGGACGAAAGCCAGGGGAGCGAAAGGGAUUAGAUACCCCUGUAGUCA
Molecule: ribosomal RNA, 426 nt
Filed under: uncultured cyanobacterium
Lineage: Bacteria; Bacillati; Cyanobacteriota
Description: bacterial SSU rRNA
Rfam family: Bacterial small subunit ribosomal RNA
Source: RNAcentral